Long non-coding RNA from Nematostella vectensis (starlet sea anemone), 805 nucleotides. RefSeq lists it as uncharacterized. The transcript is spliced from 2 exons. NCBI's taxonomy places the organism in Eukaryota, Metazoa, Cnidaria, Anthozoa, Actiniaria, Edwardsiidae. The record is from RefSeq and is a predicted model, not a curated record.
AAGAGCUAGCGUAAUAAUUAGAGAUCUCCGCCCCCUUUUGACGUUUGGGCGCUGUAGGACGCCCGUGCUGAGUGUCCUUUACAUGUAAACAACAAAACCUGGCUAAUGGCUGACUGAGGAGAUAUUUACCUAAUUAAUGCUUAAAUACCUCGACCGCGUUUGUCAUAUAUAGCUGAGACGAUUCAAAAGAUUUUCACAGUUUACAGUUGCGUAGUCGAGAGCCAAACACUUGCCUUCAACGAUUCCCGCCUGACAAUGAAGGGAUUACUCUUUGCUGUACUUGUCAUCGUACUGGUCACACACCAAACAACUGCGUUUACAGCAGGCAUAGGAAACUUUGGCAAACGGGAAUUGAGACAGACUCGUGAGGCUUUGCGCGUUGUGUGCGGCUACGUCAGAGAAGCGCAGGCCCAAGAAGUUCGCGAUGGCUACACUGAGCAUGCGCGCUACAACAAUAUACGGGAAAUCUGCCAGCUUUGACGUAAUCUCGCCUCUACUUCUCUUCACACAGGAACCUCCGAAACACCGCUGGAAGUGAUGGACUUUGUGAAAGAAAAAACUGGAUAGAUUCUAUUUUAUAGGGUUGUCGUCUCUGUCGCAUCCGUUUGUAUAUAAAAUACACCAGGACUUGUUAACUGUUGUUCAUGAGAAGGUAAUUUCCCACUCAGAACGAAGCCCUAAGUACCAGAUGUGUUCAAAGAAGGCAGUUUCCGAAAUGUUGUAAUAAAUCGUUUUUCAAUUCGCUAUCGAAGAUUGAUUGUUUUGAUGUGUUUAAGUAAAUGCAACGAUGCCGUUGGCUACGAAA